GACGAACGCUGGCGGCGUGCCUAAUACAUGCAAGUAGAACGCUGAGGUUUGGUGUUUACACUAGACUGAUGAGUUGCGAACGGGUGAGUAACGCGUAGGUAACCUGCCUCAUAGCGGGGGAUAACUAUUGGAAACGAUAGCUAAUACCGCAUAAGAGUAAUUAACACAUGUUGGUUAUUUAAAAGGAGCAAUUGCUUCACUGUGAGAUGGACCUGCGUUGUAUUAGCUAGUUGGUGAGGUAAAGGCUCACCAAGGCGACGAUACAUAGCCGACCUGAGAGGGUGAUCGGCCACACUGGGACUGAGACACGGCCCAGACUCCUACGGGAGGCAGCAGUAGGGAAUCUUCGGCAAUGGACGGAAGUCUGACCGAGCAACGCCGCGUGAGUGAAGAAGGUUUUCGGAUCGUAAAGCUCUGUUGUUAGAGAAGAACGUUGGUAGGAGUGGAAAAUCUACCAAGNGACGGNAAC
Molecule: ribosomal RNA, 469 nt
Filed under: uncultured bacterium
Lineage: Bacteria
Description: bacterial SSU rRNA
Rfam family: Bacterial small subunit ribosomal RNA
Source: RNAcentral